RNAcentral lists this ribosomal RNA (466 nucleotides) under uncultured bacterium. RNAcentral describes it as "partial 16S ribosomal RNA". It matches the Rfam family "Bacterial small subunit ribosomal RNA", at positions 28 to 507 of the family's 1533-position model. The record is from RNAcentral.
GACGAACGCUGGCGGCGCGCCUAACACAUGCAAGUCGAACGAGCGAGAGAGAGCUUGCUUUCUCGAGCGAGUGGCGAACGGGUGAGUAACGCGUGAGGAACCUGCCUCAAAGAGGGGGACAACAGUUGGAAACGACUGCUAAUACCGCAUAAGCCCACGGUGCCGCAUGGCACAGAGGGAAAAGGAGCAAUCCGCUUUGAGAUGGCCUCGCGUCCGAUUAGCUAGUUGGUGAGGUAAUGGCCCACCAAGGCGACGAUCGGUAGCCGGACUGAGAGGUUGAACGGCCACAUUGGGACUGAGACACGGCCCAGACUCCUACGGGAGGCAGCAGUGGGGAAUAUUGCACAAUGGGGGAAACCCUGAUGCAGCGACGCCGCGUGGAGGAAGAAGGUCUUCGGGUUGUAAACUCCUGUUGUUGGGGAAGAUAAUGACGGUACCCAACAAGGAAGUGACGGCUAACUACGUG